AGUGAACGCUGGCGGUAGGCCUAACACAUGCAAGUCGAACGGCAGCACAGUAAGAUCUUGCUCUUACGGGUGGCGAGUGGCGGACGGGUGAGGAAUACAUCGGAAUCUACUUUUUCGUGGGGGAUAACGUAGGGAAACUUACGCUAAUACCGCAUACGACCUACGGGUGAAAGCAGGGGAUCUUCGGACCUUGCGCGAUUGAAUGAGCCGAUGUCGGAUUAGCUAGUUGGCGGGGUAAAGGCCCACCAAGGCGACGAUCCGUAGCUGGUCUGAGAGGAUGAUCAGCAACACUGGAACUGAGACACGGUCCAGACUCCUACGGGAGGCAGCAGUGGGGAAUAUUGGACAAUGGGCGCAAGCCUGAUCCAGCCAUACCGCGUGGGUGAAGAAGGCCUUCGGGUUGUAAAGCCCUUUUGUUGGGAAAGAAAAGCAGCAGGUUAAUACCCCGCUGUUCUGACGGUACCCAAAGAAUAAGCACCGGCUAACUUCGUG
RNAcentral lists this ribosomal RNA (492 nucleotides) under uncultured bacterium. RNAcentral describes it as "partial 16S ribosomal RNA". It matches the Rfam family "Bacterial small subunit ribosomal RNA", at positions 29 to 507 of the family's 1533-position model. The record is from RNAcentral.